AGUAAUGUCUGGGAAACUGCCUGAUGGAGGGGGAUAACUACUGGAAACGGUAGCUAAUACCGCAUAACGUCGCAAGACCAAAGAGGGGGACCUUCGGGCCUCAUGCCAUCAGAUGUGCCCAGAUGGGAUUAGCUAGUAGGUGGGGUAACGGCUCACCUAGGCGACGAUCCCUAGCUGGUCUGAGAGGAUGACCAGCCACACUGGAACUGAGACACGGUCCAG
RNAcentral lists this ribosomal RNA (222 nucleotides) under uncultured bacterium. RNAcentral's name for it is "partial 16S ribosomal RNA". It matches the Rfam family "Bacterial small subunit ribosomal RNA", at positions 109 to 334 of the family's 1533-position model. The record is from RNAcentral.